RNAcentral lists this ribosomal RNA (773 nucleotides) under uncultured Neocallimastigales. RNAcentral's name for it is "partial large subunit ribosomal RNA". It matches the Rfam family "Eukaryotic large subunit ribosomal RNA", at positions 22 to 643 of the family's 3401-position model. Lineage: Eukaryota; Fungi; Neocallimastigomycota; Neocallimastigomycetes; Neocallimastigales. The record is from RNAcentral.
GUACACGCUGUGACUAGCAUAUCAAUAAGCGGAGGAAAAGAAACUAACAAGGAUUCCCCUAGUAACGGCGAGUGAAGCGGGAAGAGCUCAAAUUUGAAAUCUUAAAGGGUUUCCCUUUACGAAUUGUAGUUUAAAGAAGUGUUUUCUGUUGAGGUUUUGGUAAAAGUUCUUUGGAAUAGGACAUCAUAGAGGGUGAGAAUCCCGUAUUUGACCUUUACUUUCAACUUUGUGAUACACUUUCAAAGAGUCGGAUUGUUUGGGAAUGCAGUCCAAAAUGGGUGGUAAAUUUCAUCUAAAGCUAAAUAUUGGCGAGAGACCGAUAGCGAACAAGUACCGUGAGGGAAAGAUGAAAAGAACUUUGAAAAGAGAGUUAAACAGUACGUGAAAUUGUCAAAAGGGAAGCGUUUGACACCAGUGUUGUUUUUCUGAAAAUCAAUUAAAGAACUGUUUAUGCUAAGUUGUUUAGACUUUAUCAGUUAACUGUUUAGUUUUGAGCUUUUCUUUAAUGCACUUUUCAGUUAACAAGUCAACAUCAAUUUCUUUUGCUGUAAAAAAGCUUGAGGAAGGUGGCUUGAGAUUCGUCUUAAGUGUUUAUAGCCUCUUGCCUAUGCAGUCGGAGAGAUUGAGGUCUGCAGCGUAGAUCCUUCGGGGCUAAAUGCAUUUGUGCUAAGUUAUAGCAUUUUAUAGACAACUUGUUGACUAUGAUUUGUCUUGUAGCUUACUCGCUUAUGUUAUUUUACCUACGCUUAGGAUGUUGACUGAUAUGUAGUCGU